Molecule: ribosomal RNA, 497 nt
Filed under: uncultured bacterium
Lineage: Bacteria
Description: partial 16S ribosomal RNA
Rfam family: Bacterial small subunit ribosomal RNA
Source: RNAcentral
GAUGAACGCUGGCGGCGUGCCUAAUACAUGCAAGUCGAGUGAACAGACGAGGAGCUUGCUCCUCUGACGUUAGCAGCGGACGGGUGAGUAACACGUGGAUAACCUACCUAUAAGACUGGGAUAACUUCGGGAAACCGGAGCUAAUACCGGAUAAUAUAUUGAACCGCAUGGUUCAAUAGUGAAAGACGGUUUUGCUGUCACUUAUAGAUGGAUCCGCGCCGCAUUAGCUAGUUGGUAAGGUAACGGCUUACCAAGGCAACGAUGCGUAGCCGACCUGAGAGGGUGAUCGGCCACACUGGAACUGAGACACGGUCCAGACUCCUACGGGAGGCAGCAGUAGGGAAUCUUCCGCAAUGGGCGAAAGCCUGACGGAGCAACGCCGCGUGAGUGAUGAAGGUCUUCGGAUCGUAAAACUCUGUUAUUAGGGAAGAACAAAUGUGUAAGUAACUAUGCGCGUCUUGACGGUACCUAAUCAGAAAGCCACGGCUAACUACGUG